Molecule: small nucleolar RNA, 139 nt
Organism: Phragmites australis (common reed)
Lineage: Eukaryota; Viridiplantae; Streptophyta; Magnoliopsida; Poales; Poaceae
Product: small nucleolar RNA Z247
Exons: 1
Source: RefSeq, a predicted model, not a curated record
CCGCUCGAAGAUGAAGAACUGAUCGCGUACAUGUUGCGCGGUCUGGGCCCCGACUACGACUCGCUCGUCACCAGCAUCACCACGCGCCCUGAUUCCUACUCCAUUAGUGAUGUCUAUGCGCACAUGCUCAGCUUUGAGA